This 708-nucleotide ribosomal RNA is filed under the name uncultured fungus. RNAcentral's name for it is "eukaryotic LSU rRNA". It matches the Rfam family "Eukaryotic large subunit ribosomal RNA", at positions 37 to 653 of the family's 3401-position model. The record is from RNAcentral. Lineage: Eukaryota; Fungi.
AGCAUAUCAAUAAGCGGAGGAAAAGAAACUAACCAGGAUUCCCCUAGUAACGGCGAGUGAAGCGGGAAUAGCUCAAAUUUUAAAUCUGGCUGGCGUGGUCAGUCCGAGUUGUAAUUUGAAGAAGCGUAUAUCACGUUUUCGUUCGGGUUCAAGUUCCUUGGAAUAGGACAUCAGAGAGGGUGAGAAUCCCGUCUGUGAUCCGAUCGGUUGCGGUACGAUAUCGUUUCUAAGAGUCGAGUUGUUUGGGAUUGCAGCUCAAAAUGGGUGGUAAAUUCCAUCUAAGGCUAAAUAUUGGCGAGAGACCGAUAGCGAACAAGUACCGUGAGGGAAAGAUGGAAAGAACUUUGAAAAGAGAGUUAAACAGUACGUGAAAUUGUUGAUAGGGAAACGAUUGAAGUCAGUCAUGCCGGUGAGAAAUCAGCUCACAGGCUAACUGUGGGUGCACUUUUUCGCAAGGCAGGUUAACAUCGGUUUCUGUUGCGUCAUAAUAAUUGUAGGAAGGUGACUCCUUCGGGAGUGUUAUAGCCUACUUUAGAUGGCGCGACGGGGACUGAGGAUUGCAGCGGAUGCCUUUUUGGCUACGGGUCUUGUCUCUGUCGAUCUUCAAUUAGCUUUCAGCUUGCUGAGAUCUGGUUGAUAAAUUUACAAUAGGUUUGAUUCCGUUAAAUUUGCUAAGGAUGUUGACGUAAUGGCUUUAAACGACCCGUC